UCCAAUUGAAGCAGAGGACAGUGGCGGACGGGUGAGUAACGCGUGAGGAACCUGCCUUUCAGAGGGGGACAACAGUUGGAAACGACUGCUAAUACCGCAUGACACAUAGGUGUCGCAUGGCACUUAUGUCAAAGAUUUAUCGCUGAUAGAUGGCCUUGCGUCUGAUUAGUUAGUUGGUGGGGUAACGGCCUACCAAGACGACGAUCGGUAGCCGACCUGAGAGGGUGAUCGGCCACAUUGGGACUGAGACACGGCCCAAACUCC
RNAcentral lists this ribosomal RNA (264 nucleotides) under uncultured Bacillota bacterium. RNAcentral's name for it is "uncultured Firmicutes bacterium partial 16S ribosomal RNA". It matches the Rfam family "Bacterial small subunit ribosomal RNA", at positions 76 to 339 of the family's 1533-position model. The record is from RNAcentral. Lineage: Bacteria; Bacillati; Bacillota.